UAAAGGCUCACCACGGCAUCCAUUAGCAGCUGGUCUGAGAGGACGACCAGCCACACUGGGACAGAAACACGGCCCAGACUCCUACGGGAGGCAGCAGUGGGGAAUUUUGUACAAUGGGCGCAAGCCUGAUCCACCAAUGCCUCAUGAGUGAAGAACGCCUUCGGGUUGUAAAGCUCUUUUGUCAGGGAAGAAACGGCUCUGGAUAAUACCUGGGGCUAAUGACGGUACCUGAAGAAUAAGCACCGGCUAACUACGUGCCAGCAGCCGCGGUAAUACGUAAGGUGCCAGCGUUAAUCCGAAUUACUGGGCCUGCAGCCUGCGCAAGCGGUCGUGUAAGACAGGUGUGAAAUCCCCGGGCUUCACCCGGGGAAUGGCCUUUGUGACUGCACGGGCAUGGGUGUGGUCAGAGGGGGGGUCUAACUUCCUCAUGUAACAAUGGACAUG
This 444-nucleotide ribosomal RNA is filed under the name uncultured beta proteobacterium. RNAcentral's name for it is "bacterial SSU rRNA". It matches the Rfam family "Bacterial small subunit ribosomal RNA", at positions 258 to 688 of the family's 1533-position model. The record is from RNAcentral. Lineage: Bacteria; Pseudomonadati; Pseudomonadota; Betaproteobacteria.